This 12004-nucleotide long non-coding RNA is filed under the name Fragaria vesca (wild strawberry). RNAcentral describes it as "long non-coding RNA (FVES_LNC005453)". The record is from RNAcentral. Lineage: Eukaryota; Viridiplantae; Streptophyta; Magnoliopsida; Rosales; Rosaceae.
GUAUUUUUCAGUGAAUUUUUCGGACUCCCGAGCUAGUUUUAAUGAUUUUUUGAAGUUCGUCAAUUUUUUCAGACCAAUGACGUGGCAACUCCUUAUUAGUCCACUUCUCUUUAACUUAGUGACUAAGUCAGCUGAUCCAUGCAAGUGGGCAAGUGGAUUAUACAAGCUGACAUGUGGUAGAUGAGGAUGAACCAGAGUGUGACACGUGGAAUUGUCCACAAAAGAUGAAAUUAUCAUUUCUGGUCAACCCUAGUCAAAGGAGAAGUAAAAUGCAAUUAGUUUCUUAAUUAAUCAUUUGUUAAAUAAUUAAUUAAACAAGCAGCUUAACCAAGACGCGGUGUUUCAAAUUGCAAAUUUCAUCCAUUCAAAAGGCGACAUGUGACAACCCUAGCUCUCUCCUCUUCUAGAGACCGGCCGCACCAUUUUCAAUUCAGAAAAUGAUCCCAAUUCCUUCUGAUCUCAUCACCACCGAAUGAUCUCAUCCUCAUUGCCAUCUACUCAACACCACCGAGACCAUCUCACUUCACCUCAUCCUUAUUUCAUCACCUCAAGGCCAUUCUCACUUCCCUUCAAGACCACCACCUCAUUUUCCUCUCAAACCCAUCUCUUCUGUCACACCCUGAUUUUCAAAGGAUAAAUUUUCAAAAAUUUGGGCAUGAUAUAUCAUAAAAUCUUAAUAUUCCAAAACCUGCUCAACAACUAUCUAACUAAAAACAAAUACUGGAAAUGUAAAUAUCAACAAACUCAACAAUUGAGUUAAACAUUAUAUCUCCCUAGAAAAUACUGCUCACUCCAUUAACUUUCAUGCACUCGACAGUUUACUCCACUAUCUUUCAAUUUCAAUCGAUUAGUCCUCUAACUAUCCAAUGUUACACACUUAGGUCCAUCCGUUAAGUGGACAUCCAAUCGUGCCGUCAACUUGCUGACUGGACAUAUUUUUCAAUGCCAACUCAGCUGGAUGAAAGGAGAAAAUCUUUUUAUAUUAAUUUUUUCUUUCAAUUUUAUUUUUUCUAUGAAAUCUGUCCCUUCUCGCCGUCCUCCUGCUCCGAUCACCGUUCUCCCUACUCGCCGCCGAUGACCAGACACGGUCGGCCUACGAAGUCAUCCAGGACUUCAACUUCAUUACCAUCGUACUCCCUGGCCUCCGGCGAGUCACAUGCACGCUACCCGUCGGCAAGAGACUCCAGAAAGACGUCAUACACGCCGUCGCAACGCUUACCCAGAAUACCCAGAAUUACUCUGGGCACCCAAAGCUCUCUCUCCUCGCGUCUUCUCCAACACAAACCGGCAAACCGCAUCUGCACCGCAUUCAUCCUUUGGUAGUCAGAGUACCAGUCCCAUCAAAUAUCAAUAAUAUAAAGGAGGAAGAAAGUCGAAAUUGUCAUCACUGCUGAUAGCAUUGUCUUCAGCACCAGCAGCUCUAUCUGAUCGUCUCCCGAAUCAUGGCAUUUACAAACCGAAUCGAUCAGCUUAGUCAGCAACUUCGCCUCGGCGCCACCGGAAGUGUUGACCCGCCGUAUAGGUAUCCGUGCGCGCUUAGCUUCUAGAUGCAAUCCACGGCAGGUAUCCGUGCGGUGCAGAUGCGGUUUGCCGGUUUGUGUUGGAAAGACACGAGGAGAGAGAGCUCUGGGUGCCCAGAGUAAUUCUGGGUAUUUUGGGUACGCGUUGCGACGGCGCGUAUGACGUCUUUUUGGCGUCUCUUGCCGACGGGUAGUGUGCAUGUGACUCGACGGAGGCCAGGGAGUAUGAUGGUGAUGAAGUUGAAGUCCUGGAUGACGUCGUAGGCCGACCGUGUCUGGUCAUUGGCGGCGAGUAGGGAGAACGGUGAUCGGAGCAGGAGGACGGCGAGAAGGGAUAGAUUUCAUGAAAAAAAUAAAAUUGAAAGAAAAAAUUAAUUUAAAAAGAUUUUCUCAUUUCAUCCAGCUGAGUUAGCAUUGAAAAAUAUGUUCAGUCAGCAAGUUGACGGCACGAUUGGAUGUCCACUUAACGGAUGGACCCAAGUGUGUAACAUUGGAUAGUUAGAGGACUAAUCGAUUGAAAUUGAAAGAUAGUGGAGUAAACUGUCGAGUGCAUGAAAGUUAAUGGAGUGACCAGUAUUUUCUUCUUACAUUAACUUCAAAAGUCUAGUAAUAACAACGUCGCUCACAAGAGCUUAAAAACAAAUUAACAAAAUAUACGAAUAAUUGUACAUUGUCUAAAACCAAGCUCCUAAGCCACCGCUUCAACCCUGCUGAUCAAUACCUGCAGGCCUAACCCCUACACCAUAAAUUGGUGCACCGGGUUGUAAACAACAAACCCGGUAAGCUAAAAAGCCCUUAUGAGUAACUCCCAAAAUAACUUAACCCAACAACACAUAAAAUAAAACCGGAAAUUCCUGCUUCGAACUUAGUUCAGGAAUUGCCUCCACAAUAAAAUUCAAAGAGAGUAAUUAAGAAAACAUAGCAAUUCACAAAACAAACAAUCAUAAGAGAAUCCUACAAAUAAUGAUAGUUCAGGAAUUCCACUAAAAAAAAUCACACAAUUAAGAAUUGAAGAAUCUCCUGCAUUAAGCAUAGUUCAGGAGAUAUUCAAACGAGUUAAACAACAACAAUUAAGAACAAAGUUAAAACCACAUUUUCAACACUUUUACAAAUAACAUGUACCCAUGAGUCCCAGAUAUUAAUAAAUACCUCUCAUGACCUACAACAACAAUUUGUGUACCCAUAGGUCCCAGAUACCAUAAGGUAUCUCCCAUGACCUACACCGACAGACAGACUAGAGCUCUAUUCCUAACCGUAACCAAUCACCCGGCCAAAGGGUUGGAACCCAGUUUAACUGUCCAAUAUCAAAUCACAAAAUAAUAAUAGUAUCAUAACCGUAACCAAUCACCCGAUUAAAGGCUUGGAACCCGGUUUGACUAUUUACACAACAUUUCACAUAAGGGUAGAAUCAUCAUAACCGUAACCAAUCACCCAAUUAAAAGUUUGGAACCAGGUUUGACUAUCUAAACCAAAAAUCACAGAAUAAUAAAAUCAACAUCAACAACCCAAUAGCACAUCAUAGAAUUAUAUCCUUCCACUUAGAUAUAUUUAUAUGCACAAGACAUAGUUAUUCCCACAAGAAUAACCUAACAAUAACAAAAAAUAUUAUAAUUUCAUGAACCUUAAAAGUAAUCAUAUAAUAGGAAAACUUGUUUUAUCUUAUCUAUGAGCCGUUGGCGAUCAAGCUCAUAUAUUUUAAAACAACUAAAAAUAAAAUUUUUAAUUUAAAAACAUCAUAAUCAUCAAUAAAAAUAAUCAUCGUAAUUCAUCAUCAUUCUAUCAUCAUAAACCUUAUCAACAUCACCAUCAUCAUCAUAAUAAUCAUUAUCAUCAACACAAUAAUUAUCAUUAUCAUUCAUCAUCAUAUACCUUAUCAACAUCACCAUCAUCAUCAUAAUAAUCAUUAUUAGCACACAAUAAUUAUUAUAACCAUCAACACAAUUUCAUAAAUAAUUGGUUCUAAGUGAACCUUUGUCACAUCCCGACCCUUAAAUUUUUACCUUAUUUACUAGCUUGGUAUUUAAUAAGAAUUUUACCAUCUCUGUCAUUGAGCUUAUAGUUUAUUUGGUCCCUAGAAGGGUUUUAAGGGACGAUUAUUUCGGAGGAUUUAUUCGUAGGAGAAAAUGUGACGACGGUAAAAAUGGUAAAUUUUAGCUAGUAAAAGGUAAUUUUUAUUGGGGUAUUAUUUUGGGGUGUUCAUUUUUAGAGUUGGGUUUUAUAUGGUGGGUUGUGGAACCGGUUUGGAGGCCCAAACCUCAGUUUUCUCUCUCUCUUUUCCCGACUCUUUUCUCUCUUCCGAUUCUUCUCCCUUCACUGGUGUUCUCUGCCACGGCCUGCCACCGUCCGGCCACCAACCGCUGUCGUACCGGUCCUGUUUGGUCGGCCAUCAACCCAGCCACCUCCCUGGACCGGUGACAGCCUCCCUAGAGCCGCCGUGAGAGAGAAACGACGCCUUGAACCUUCGGCUGUCCAAAGCUCUCCUUCGCCGGAAUUUCCUCCUCCGGCCACCAAUCUGGGCAAGCUUUAUAUGGUUUUGAAGGUCUCCAACCCAAUUGCCUUGUCCUAAAAGGACUCGGUUCAGUUUGCUUCAGGUAAGGAGAACCGGUGAGUGGAAGCUCUAAGGCGUUUUGUGUUGUUUUGCUCGAUUGCCCUAGUUAGGCUUGGAAUUGAUGUUUGUGUUAGUUAGGAAAGUUGUACAGGGGGUUGAGAGGAAGAUGCUGUUAAAAUUUGGUAGGAAUUGGAGGUUGCUGGAAUCGGCCUCCGGCCGCUGCCGGUUGGGAGAUUUUAAUGUUUUUAAAUUUGGAAUAUUAAGGGGAGUUUAUUGAAGUGAAUUAUGGAAUUUUUGGAUGAGUUUUGGAUAGGUUUAUGAAUUUCCGAAGUGUGGUAUUUUUGGCGGUUGAAUAAUGUAGAAUCCGGCCGUAGGAUUUAAGUCAUUUUCUGGGGGAAGUUGUAAUUAGGGAUGCCGGUUUGUUUGGUGAAGUUUAAGCCAUUUUGAGUUAAGAAUGGCGAAGUUGGGCAAUAAUGAGUGUGUGGGAGGCUCACGUUUAAUUUUGCCCAUUUUGUUUAAUUAUUGGAUUUUAAGUGGAAAAUUAAUUAUACAUUUGGAAACAGGAAGUGAGGAGGCUCAAGUAGAAGAGACCUCAGAUCGACGUCAGCUUUAGGCCUAAAGUUGUGAGUGGACCUUUGUUUUAAUUGAAAAGCAUGCGAUGAAUUAUUUUGUUGAUCAUUUAUUUUUUUUGCUGAGAUUUAUUUAUUUCUUGGAUAUUUGGCAAUUUUUCCUCCUUUGGAGAGUUCCCGGAAAUGAGAUUUUUGGUGGAUAUGUUUAUUGGAUGUUUAUGAGGAUAGUAUGUAUAUAUAAAUACUAGCUAGCCAUACGUGCUUGAUCCGCCAUAAUGAGGUAAAAUACCAUUAUGGUGUGACGUGAGUGUUAGACACAAGUGUAGUAGCCCUAUAUGAAAACUAUUUUCUUUUCUGGUUCAUAUAGGUUUUCAUAUAGGGAGUCCACACGUAUAUACACUCGUGCUUUUCCGCCAUAAUGAGGAAAAAUUCCAUUAUGGUGUGACGUGAGCGUUAGACGAAAGCGUAGUAACCUUGUAUGAAUUUCUAUUUUGCUUAUUCCUUCAUAGAAUUGGUACAAGGAGUAUGACGAGUAUAAAUACAUACACAUAUAUAUAUUUUUAUAUAUAAUUUAGCCUGAGAGGCUUUAUUUUUGUUAAGUUUGGAGACUAGCCGGAGCUAGUCAUGAAAUUGCCAAUCGUUGAGUUGAGAGCUUUUGAGCUGCCGCAUGCAGUAUAUUUUCUAUGAAAUUCAAAUUGGGAAUGCAUAAAUAUUUAUUAAUUUAUUUUUGUCCACUCAUUCUAACGUGUUCAAAUGUUUUUCCCCUGCGCCAUUCGUUUUAAAAAUGCCUAGCUUGCAGGUUAGCUUAGUUGAGAUCGGGAGUACAUGGAGAUGAGGCAUAGUCAUCAUAUAGCUUCUGCUUGUUAAUUUAUUAUGUUUCAUUUCUUCCUAUUAGAGUUGCUCUGAACCUAUAAAGGGUUGGAUAUGAGAUUUGUUUAGAUUAGUAAUUAUUUUGGGUGGUGUUGUGAUUUGGGGAGCACGAAGGCUCCAGGAGUUUAAGGUUGGAUUUAAAUUUUUAGAAGUGUUUGCAGGUUUUAUUAGGAAGGGUUGUCUAUUUUCAAGGGAACUUAUGCCGAAUUUUCGGUAAAUUUUCCUUGGAGGUGGUCCCCGCAGGAUUUACUUCGGGUUUCAGGGUGAAAUUCGGGGUGGGUCCUGACAACCUUGAUGAGAUGUUACUCACCUAAAUAUAUCCAGCUGCAUCUUCCACAAACAAAAGGGCUAAGCCAAGCCACUCACCCUUCACCAAACACCUAAAAUUACACAAAUACUACCUUAGUAACCAAACAAACUAAUGAGAAAAUUGCACCCUUCACAAACCUUAACCCAUAGGAGGACAACUUUCCAAGGUCGUCAUAUUUAACGACUAAAUAAAACUACCUCUAAUCCUCAAAACCUAAACUCAAACCUCACACAAGCCUAAGAUUAAACUUAAUGUCCUAACAUGCAAACCUUACACCAAACCUACAAUUUCCACAUCUCAACAAGCUCACAAUAACAAGAGCUAGCUAACCACUAAAACCUAGAGCUAGGAAAUUGCCGGACGCGCUGCCACGCGCCGACACAGGCGGCGGCGAGUGGGCCCCACGCGCCACCCCAAAACUUCAAAUUUUGCACAAACACCCAACAUCAACCUUAUAGAGCACAGCAAAAGGAACACUUUUUAUACCUAAGGCUAAGCUCGAUUCAACCUUGAACUACCCCAAACAGCCACCACAAGCUCCACCCCCAAAUCUGCAAACUAGCGCCCCAAACUUCAAACUUUGGAUCACAAGAGAGGCAUAAACAUCUCUAGAGGAAGGAGGAGAGCAAGACUCACCCAACUCCGGCCUAAAACGUCGUCGAAAACAACUAAAUUCCGGCAAGACCGCCACAGCUCCUCCACCUAGCAGCGGCGUCUAGGCGGCGAGACGACAAGCGGCGCUACCCUAGAAUUGAAGAGGAGGUCUUUGCACACCGAACGAGACCGGCGGCGGUCGAAUCUGCGGCCGGACUGUAGACCUCUGCUUCGGCGAACCAUGUGAAGCUUCUCUGGCCAACAGCUCUAUCUCCAGCUUGUGACGCCGUGCUACACCAGCCUAGACUUGGAGGCGACGUCCGACUGAGUUGAACGGGACCGGCGGCAGUCAAAGCGGUGGCCGGACGGUGGACUUCUGCUCCGGUAAGGAUGAGGUCUGCGUGCGGGUCGGGAGGAAGAGAGAGAAAGCUGCACGGGGGCUUUGUGCAAAUUUAGGGUUUUCUAAAAAUACCCACACACAUUUUCCUAUUUAUACUAAAAUCCCGAAAACCACAAUACUUCUGCUAACCAAAGCUUUCUCAUAUGACCUCCAAAUUACGUGUGCCGCAUGUCUACAAACUCGUAUCGCCAUGCUCUACAACUUCUGUGAAGAAAGUUUCUUGAGAAACCCAAUAAAUAAAAAGUCAACCAAAAAGUCAACCAAAUAAAAAUAAUAUAAACUAGUAUCUAAAAUUCCGGGGUAUUACAUCUUCCCUCUCACCGAGACCAUCUCACAUCACCUCGUCCUUAUUUCAUCACCUCAAGACCAUUCUCAUUUCCCUUCAAGACCACCACCUCAUUUUCCUCUCAAACCCAUCUCUUCCCUCUCACUCUUUCUACCGAAUCCUCAUCAAUUCCGUAAGGAAUCUCAAGGAGCUUCAAGGGUCGUGCCCAAGAAUUCGUUGAACGUGAGCAUCAUGCUGGAUUGUGUUGACGCACGACAACUAGGGCCGACCCUGAGAUUUUGGAGGCUCGAAGCGAAAAAAAAAAAAUUGGGUUUAGAGUGUGCACAUAACAUAACAGUACAACUCCCAAUAAUAAUGAAGGAAAAGACUUAGGUGCCUUGAGGUAUUCAUACCUCGCAAGGUGGCAACGUGUUAUUGGUCCACAUAGGACUACAACAUAAAAACUUAACGGAUUUUUGUAAUUGUCUUAACGGAUUUUUGUUAACUAAGGUAACGAAUUUUUUUGUAACUAUUUUUAACUAGAAAAAAACCUACUAACGAAAAAUACUCUCUCUCUCCUCGCGUUCUCUCUCUCUCUCUCUCCUCGUUCUCUCUAUGUUCUUCUUCUUCUUCUCACUCUAUGCCCACGUUUCAACAAUGAUAACAUAUCAUCCUUAAUGACUCUUAAAACGAGACGAGAUUCCUCCCGUUACAUGCUCAUUAAUGACAAACGCAAAAACCAAGUCCUCGUAGGUUCCUAACAACCGAGCGACGAUAGCUUCAAGGCAAAAAUUACACCUUCUAGUUAUUAAGAUCAUCCUGAAUGUAAACAUCUAUUGUGCAUACCAUUAUAACGCUACACGGGCAAAUUGAAACUUCCAUCAUAUAAUGCUCAUCCGCUUGUGUUCGGGUCUAUUGGGGUCGCUCCCCAUCACCCACUAUGCGUCUACGCAAGACCCCCUCAUAUUACAAAAUGGAUAAAGCUUCUUAUAAGAAUAAUCUCUUACCCAUGCGCUCUAGCUAAUCCUUACGUAUGUGCAUGCUACUGCUCCCAGCGUGCGUAAGUGUCCCUAGGCCGUACACGAUAUACCUGGACUCACGCAUACGACCCUAGCAAAAUGUAACCUAGUUAUCAUCAGCUGGCACCAACUGCACUUUUGGUGUGUGUGUGUGCGUGUGUGUGUAUAAAUUGGGCCUCACCUCACCUUUUCAGGUAACUAACUCAUUCCCUCCUCUCUACUCCUAAAACCAUCCGCUAUUGUGUCUAACGUGAGCGUCAAAGAUGGGAUGACCGAAUUUUUCCAGUCUCCCCUCUAACCUCGUUCGCAGUAAAGGAACUAGAGCGGAUAGUUGCACAUCAGCGGAGAGAGGGUCCAAUAGUUAACCAUUUUGUCUAUCCCAUAAUCACUCCCAACAUAAUUUGAGUAACUAAAUUCUAAAAUUCAAGUUAAUUUUGAAUGUUGAAACUAUAGAGUAUUUUACACAUCAUCAGAUGAUAGAGAUCAAACGACAUUUCCUUGUGUCCGAAAUAUUUUGGCCUUUUAGAUACAUAAAAUGGACAUGUGUUUGGUUUGGUUUUGAUCUAUUUCAUUACAUAUAAGGUUCAAAAAAGUCAUACAAAAUACAAAUGUUGCAUGAUCAAAUUGUGGAAUUCUCACUUUUAAUAGAAAAAUUAUAUAUGUUAUCUCGUUGAAACUGUCAAUUUUCAGCAACUUCAACUCCUUGUCUCAGUACCUUAUGUCCACAAGUUUACCCAUACUUGGUAAAAAAAACUGAACAUCUUCACGCGUUUUUAGAUGAUAAGUAUCCGAUGAACCUGAUUAUCCUUAACAAAUUUUUACUUAUACGAUAUUGGGCCUAUUUUCAAAUGAAAUCAUGAAAACCAAGAUAAGGGGUAUAUCGUGCUAGCGCUCAUUAACACUUUAAUUUAUUAUGUACGAGCAACAAUUCUUAUUUUUCAUUAAGUAGUUGUAGUUGAUAGUAUGACAACAAACUCUAGAGUGGAUUAUUGUUUCACUUAGUCAAUGGUCAAUGCAAAACACACCUUCAUGACGCAUAAUGGUUCAUCGGUGGUCAUGCAAAAUAACUUGGGUAUGGUCACUUAUGUGACAAACACUAAUGAAAGAUGAACAACUGUCAAAAAUAAUCAUAAACAAACAUGCCAAAUACCUAAAACUCCCCUGUUAUAUCCUUAAAUUGCAGCCAAACCUUUUAAAAUGGACACGUGUCUCAUGUUCAUUGGUUGUGGUCACCUUACUCCUGUCACCUAAGUCGGGUUCAUAACAUUUUGAUUAAUUUUAAAUACACACCUCUAAUCUCUUAAUACACACCCCUUACUUAAUACAUUACCCAUUUAGUUUUUCAUUUCAAUAUUAUACUAAAUACACAUCCCAAACUGUCUAAAAUACCCUUAAUAUCUAAAACUAAUAAUAAUAUGUUAUUUAAUAUAAUUAUUAUAUUUACUAUUUCACAACUGUAAUACCCUGGAAAUUUAAUGUUAGUUUCUAAUAUUAUUUGAGAAUUUCUGAGUUAGAAGUUAGAGUGUUUUGAGGUUCGAAGAAAGAACGGAAACGUUCGGAUGCUUUUUUACCUGAAACGGUUUUAUGGUUCUGAAGGGUCAAGAGUUGACUUUCUAAUCCGUUGGGUUUCUCGAGAAACUUCCUUGACGAAAGUUGUAGAGCAUGACGAUACGAGUUCGUAGACACGUGGCACGCGUAAAACGGACUUCGUAUGAGGAAGUUAUGGUUAGCGGAAGUUCGUGGCUUUACGGGAAUUUUGGGUUAAAUAGGAAAGUUUUCUUUUGAGUCCUCACUUUUUUCAGAAACCCAAAUCUUCCCCCUCUCCUUCUCUCUCCCCGACCCCGAGAGAAUCCAAAACCCCCAGCCAACCCGGCCUAAACCCGCCCGACCCGACCAGGCUUUUCCGGCCACCUCCAACCGAUUUAGACGCCGGCACCGGUCGGGUUCUCUUCUUCUCCUCCGUUCGAGCUGCCCUGUGGUGGUGACUUGCUCCGAUUCGGUCCCGAAGUGGUGACCCGAACCUUAAAAGUUCGGCUUGGAGACCAGUCGGGAUUCCCACCUCCGACGGCGGUGACGUGGCUUGGAAACGGUCGGGAUAGGAGCUCCGUGGCGUCCUGGUUCAUUUUCCGGUGGUCUUGAAGCUUGUCUCUCGGUGUGGAGUGGUGGUGGUGGAUUCCAAUUUUUCCGGCAAGUUUCCGGUGUUUUCCGGCCGAGUGGGGCAAAACCUCAGGUGACUUGUGAAGUGUGUUGAGCUUGGUUCUUGAGUUUUUUUUGUGAAGACGCAGCGGGAUUUUUAGGUGAGUAACAUCUCACCAAGGUCCACUUUCAGACCAGUUAUUUAUAAUUAUUAUGAUGAUGAUUGUGAUGUUGAUUUUGAAGAUGAUUAUGAUGAUGAUUGUGAUGUUGUUUUUGAUGAUGUUGAUGAUGAUAAUUGUUAUGAUGAUGAUGAGAUUAAUGAUGAUGAUGAUAAUGUUGAUGGAAAUGUUGAUGAUAUGAUGAUUAUGAUGAUAAUUAUUAUGAUGACGAUGGUAAUGGUUUUGAUUGAUGAUUAUGAUGCUAUUUAUAUAUUGUGAGUAAAUCUCACAUGGGUUCAUAAGGAACCGAAUUUAUUUUAUAAUUUUGUUAUUGUUGGUUGUGAAGUUGUCCUUAAAAGGAGAAUGUUUUUUCUUGUUUUUAAAUAUAAAUGAGUUUGAUCGUCAACGGCUCAUGGGUAAGUGAAAAUGUGUUUCCUGAUAAAAAUAAAUCUUUCAAAAGGACUUCCGAUCAUGUGAUAUUGUGAUGUUGAAAUAUGGUUGUUGAUAGAUUAUUCUAGUGGGAAUAUCUAUGUCUUUGUUUAUAUAAAUAUAUCUAGGUGGAAAGAUAUAAUUUAUGAAGUGCUCUUGUGUUGUUGUUGAGGAUAUUUUUAUAUUGUGCUUUGAUAAGUGUUAUGAUGGGAGAGUAUUUGAAUGUGUGCCUUAGUGGCGAUUGUGUGCAUUAGUUGUGUAUGUGUGUGCCUUAGUGAUGAUUGUGUGCAUUAGUUGUGGAUGUGUGUGCCUUAGUGGUGAUUAUUAGACUAGGAGCCUUCGUGGUGGACCGGGAACCAAGCCUUGGCCGGGUGAUUGGUUACGGUCAGUAUAGAGCUCUAGUCUGUCAGUCGGUACUUCAUGGGGGAUGACUAAGUGUUGACGAACCCAUGAGUACGCAUUUAUUUGGUUACUUAUGGGGGAUGACUAAGUGUUGGCGAACUCAUAAGUAAGAGUAGAGAAAUGUUUGUGUGAUGUUCUUAUGUGUUGUUUAAAUUUCUUGCUUUGAGUAUCUUCUGAACUAUGCAUAUCCGUAGGAGAUUCUUAAAUCUUAAUUGUGUAUUUUAAUAGAAUUCUUGAAGUAUGUUUAUUUAUAGGAUUCAUUUAUGAUUUUGAGUGAUUUUAAAUUAUUGUGUUUUCUUAAUUGUUUCUUUUGAAUUCUCUUGUUUUUAGGCGAUUCCUGAACUAAGUUGCUAAUGCAAGAAUUACCAGUUUUAAUUUAUAUGUGAUGUUGGGAUUGUUGGGUUAUUAUUUUGGGAGUUACUCAUUCGUUGUAAAGCUUACCAGGUUUGUUGUUUACAACCUGGUGCACUAAUCUAUGGUGUAGUGGUUGAUUUUGCAGGUCAGGAUUAACAGAGUUGAGGCUACGACAAUUAGGCUUUAAUCCUUUUGUUUACUUCUAUAUUAUUGUGAGUAUAGAGGGAGGUUGCAUUGCUCGAUUUAUUUUUCUUAAGUUGUAAAACUUUAUUGUUGUAAAGAUUCUUUUAUUUUUGUUAUCAUGCCUUGAAUUUUAGAAUUUUUAUUUAUUUAAAAUUCGGGGUGUGACAACAACUCUCUUUUACGUAUUCUCUUUUAUUUUUUGUUAGAUUUUUUUGAUCGGGUUAGAAAUUUAUUCUUGAUAUUUUUC